GCCACGUGGCGUAGUGGUUUGAGUGCUGGACUAGGACUCUGGAGAGCAGGGUUUGAAUCUCAGUUGGCC
Molecule: transfer RNA, 69 nt
Filed under: Phrynosoma platyrhinos (Desert horned lizard)
Lineage: Eukaryota; Metazoa; Chordata; Lepidosauria; Squamata; Phrynosomatidae
Description: tRNA-OTHER
Source: RNAcentral